This 2366-nucleotide long non-coding RNA is filed under the name Acanthaster planci (crown-of-thorns starfish). RNAcentral describes it as "uncharacterized LOC110990573". The record is from RNAcentral. Lineage: Eukaryota; Metazoa; Echinodermata; Asteroidea; Valvatida; Acanthasteridae.
UCAGCUGAAAAGCUUCAGCAAUGUCCCGUUAACGCAGAGCUAUUUGUUGAUAUGAUGAAAAGUUGUUUGGAGAACAUUGGUAGCGUGCUUGAAAGACAAUACAAAAAGCACUUCAUCACAAUCACUGAGCAACUUAGGAAAGAAACAGCGUCAGCAUCUCUCCAUAACAUUGAUGCAGAGGAAGUAAUACGCAUGUUUGGUGCUGCUAAGGAUCACGCACCAAGUGCAACAAUGAGCUACAUGUAUUUGUCAUCCAAAAUUAGAGCCUAGAAGAACAACAGUGUAUCUUGACAACCUGGAAGAAAAGAAAAAAAACCAAAUUGAUUAAGCUGGCUGUGACCUUGGGAAGGAAACAAAAAGAAAACACAUGAAAAAGAGGUACAGAAAUCAGGGUCGAAAUAUCUAAACGGAUAGCUGUUAAGCUAGAAAUGAAGGGAAAAAGAUUGAACGAAAGCUAAAGACCCCAAUUCUAGACUUGGUAUAUGACUUUCCUGAGUUGGAUGCAAGUGUCCAGCAAAAUGUUCAAGAUAUUCUAACAGGGGAAUUUGUUGGCCGCAGGAUCUUGCAUAUUUGGUAUGAUGAAGACAGUGGAAGCAAAAACUGUAUAUCAAUGCCAAAUUGAAAAGCUCCAGAAGAAGCUAGGAGGGACAUACGUUAUUUCAUACUGGAAUGAUGCUGCAAGCGAUACCUACGAUGAUGCAGUGGAAUACGACAUCACAAAAUACGCCCUUGCCGCUGACCUUAUCACUGAGGAUGUGAUACUACACUAAAACCUCCAUACCAAGUACAGGUUCAGCAUAUUAUCACCCUUAAGCUGGUUCUCCGGGCAAUUCAAAACCAAACCAGUAUGCUUCAAGCUCCAACAAAUAAUCACCAUAAUGAGGAGACAACAGUGAUGGGUUCCCUGAAACCAGAAAACUUGUCACCAAGAGCUUCUCAAUAAGCACCAGGAGACUUCAUCAUGGUAAGUGUAGCACAACCCUGACAGAAUGCUGGAACAUGCCUCAUGGAUAAGAACUUGAGUUUCUCCUGCGUCUACCCUAAUGGCUGCAUCAGAGCGACCUACAUAAGAGGAACUACUGUCAGCACGGUCUGCAUCGUUCAUGGGCACAUGUGUAAUGCGUGAACGGAUGGCUGUUGUAGACCAGCCACCGAGUACCUGGAGGCAGUACGGGCAGUGCUGAUGUGGAAACGCUUGCUGGUUAUCACUACAAAGUUCUCAACACAUCCAUUAAAGCUUCAUGUUAGAAAGGGAUACUAGCAUGACUGAAGAAAUGACUGAAGGAAAACUUGCCAACCUUUUUUCAUUUGGGGGAUUUGACUUCAACUGAAAACUACCCUAAAGAAACUCACCCACGACUGUACAGUACGUUUCACAGCAUGCCUUGGACUUCAUGGACGAGUGAUCUCACUGUCUCUUCCAGGGCAGCUCCUUGAAAGAACUGAUCAUCAGUUUCAUGGGAGAUUAGGCUGGUUCCGGAUGUAUGCGCAGUUAUCAAGGAUGUUGUCAAGACACCACCUCUGACUGUAACUCUUGGUAUGAAGAUCUGUUGUUCUUUUUGUGAGUUUCAUUGUUUAUUUAUUGAAAAAAUUUUAGACUGUACUUCAGAAUUUUCUGUCAGUCUAUUUUUAAGUCAGCCUUUUCAAAGUACCUUGCAUGGUGAAUUUACAAAAUAUCAAUGUGACUGAAUGUAAACUCCUGUUGAAAUUAUUUCAGUCUCAAAGAAAAUAUUUAGUAUUCAAAGAAUUUGAAUUUUUUGCUCACCCUAAAAACAUUUCCAUUUCCCAAAGUUUGUGAGAUAAUGUAAGCCUCUCAUGUUCUUUUUGGCUCAGUUCCAUGUAUCAAGUUUACUUGCUAACAACUAAUGAUCAUGCACUUUUUUUUAAAGGGCCAAGGAAUUUUCUGACAUUGACAACUACAGUAGUUCAGCUGUAAGUUGAACUGAGUAGUGUCAUUGAUACAUAUGCUUUACCUUUUUUCUAUAGUUUGAACCGAAUAUGUGUCAUCCUUGACCUGAAGUGGUUUUGACAAGCACAGCAUAGAUAUUGAACUAACUUGAGCAGAGAAAAAUUGGUGAUGCUUGCUAUGAUGGACACGAUCAGAAGGUUGAUACAACAGUAAUCUUUGGGAAUUGUCAGGUUACCUGAAGCCUGCCCUGGGAAUGCAACCCAGUAGCCUAAUCAGUGUGAUGGUGCUUCCGAUGUGGAGGGUGCUGAUAUGGGGUGCUCGCCAUCGCUUGAGUCUUGUAAUUUUGGUCACAUUUUAUCUUCAUUCAUCUCUUUUAAAAACUGAUUAACCACUUCAUGCCGGGGCAUUUUUCAAUGUUGAUGAUGCUGGGCUGGCAUGACUAUCAUUUUUUCCAUUU